UACAGGGGGGGCAAACGUUGCUCGGAAUCAUUGGGCGUAAAGCGCACGUAGGCGGUUCGUUAUGUCGGAGGUGAAAGCCCUUGGCUUAACCGAGGAAGUGCAUACGAAACUGGCGAGCUAGAGUACUAAAGAGGAUCGCGGAAUUCCCGGUGUAGAGGUGAAAUUCGUAGAUAUCGGGAGGAACACCGGUGGCGAAGGCGGCGAUCUGGGUAGAUACUGACGCUGAGGUGCGAAAGCGUGGGGAGCAAACAGG
Molecule: ribosomal RNA, 253 nt
Filed under: uncultured bacterium
Lineage: Bacteria
Description: partial 16S ribosomal RNA
Rfam family: Bacterial small subunit ribosomal RNA
Source: RNAcentral